Molecule: ribosomal RNA, 23 nt
Filed under: Ophiocordyceps irangiensis
Lineage: Eukaryota; Fungi; Ascomycota; Sordariomycetes; Hypocreales; Ophiocordycipitaceae
Description: partial 18S ribosomal RNA
Source: RNAcentral
CCAGCGGAGGGAUCAUUAAGGAG